This 431-nucleotide long non-coding RNA is filed under the name Cicer arietinum (chickpea). Its description in RNAcentral is "long non-coding RNA (CARI_LNC001846)". The record is from RNAcentral. Lineage: Eukaryota; Viridiplantae; Streptophyta; Magnoliopsida; Fabales; Fabaceae.
GCAGAUACACUUUAUCUCCCAACAUGCCAUUCUUUCUUCUCAAAAACACUUUAGGAGCCAAAAUGAAAAAAGGCAUAAGAACAUUCUGCAACAGUGAUGGAUCAACCUCAACACUGAAUCAACAAAAUAGUACUAUUGGCAAUAUUGGAGGUGACAUCACAAGUAGCAAGGUAAGCUCACCUUUUUUGCAAUGCGAUGAACAUUCAAAUUCAAAUUCGAAGCAGAACACACCGACACUCGAAGAUUUGAUACUACAAUUAGAAAUGGAGGAAGAGUUAGCAAGGAAAGAAAAGCUAAAUGAAUAUAGUGGAAUAAAAGGAAGAAUGUCAUGUGUUAACAACUCUGACAUAUUGAGAUCUGCAAGGAAUGCUUUGAAUCAAUAUCCAAGGUUUUCACUUGAUGGAAGAGAUUCAAUGUAUAGAUCAUCUUUU